Long non-coding RNA from Schistocerca gregaria, 822 nucleotides. RefSeq lists it as uncharacterized. The record is from RefSeq and is a predicted model, not a curated record. The transcript is spliced from 3 exons. NCBI's taxonomy places the organism in Eukaryota, Metazoa, Arthropoda, Insecta, Orthoptera, Acrididae.
CUGUGGCGCCGAAACCGGGGAUAUCCCCGAUUGUGCGUCCAGCACUUUUCGCAGUCUCCGUGCUACGGUGGAAGACCGUCUUCUCAGCGAUAAGACCUAGACCAGACGGUCUUAUAAGGGAUGCCACCAGCAGCUCUAGCACAGUCGGAGUUGAUUGGUCGGGUUCUACCCAGCAGAACUUUCGUACAGUGAGACUUGGGUCUCUUUGGACUGUACCCAUACCUAACCAGCCUGUCAGUCGGUGGCCGGUCAGUUUUUCGUCUGUUCAGUCGGGAGCAGACAACGCCAGCUUCACACCCCACCUCGGGAAACACGCGACGGUGACAUCCUUUGGACAUCAGCAGUCGCGAGGGCGACCAACCAGCGACUACGCAGAGGCAGCGCUAAUACAUCCGUGAGGCCGAAGCUCGCAGCUGAAAGAUGGCGGACCUCUGGCAGCAGCUCGGGCAGUUGAUCAUGAACGAUAUGGCGGAAUGUGCGUUCCGGAGCAUGGACGCCGACCAGGCCCGGGUAUGCAGGCUGCUCUGGAAGCUCAGGGCUACGGUCACCAGGAUAACUUUUACCGGGAAGCAGAUCGAAUUCUUCUUUGAACAGUUGUCUCGUUUCUUAGAGAACGACGAGGCCGACUUGGAGCAGGGGCUCCAGAUGAUCGUCCAGUCUGUGAUGGUGUCGAGAAAUAUUUUUGAGGGCUACAAAGAGGUUCAGGACCUGAUAGAUGAAAUUAAGCGAGAGUGGGACCGUUACAAAGCUAGAAACAUGCUUAAGUGGGAUUACUGAAAACUAUAAUCUUUGUGCUCAUUUAAUAAAAACCUCUAUUCGUUC